Non-coding RNA from Lepisosteus oculatus (spotted gar), 1307 nucleotides. The record is from RefSeq and is a predicted model, not a curated record. Lineage: Eukaryota; Metazoa; Chordata; Actinopteri; Semionotiformes; Lepisosteidae.
AGCAGCAGAGCUUGCACAGCUUCAAGAGGGAAUUUCUAUCAUAAAUCAUUGAAAAUGUGUGCUUUCUGACUAGAAUAAUACACAUGUUUUAUCAUUGAAAGGCUCAGGCAGAAUGAUGCGAGAAUGUUGAUUCGUGUACAGUAUAUCAUCAAUUAACCCCUGCACACUGUCAGCCGAUUCUCCUUCCUGAGUAUUGAGUGAUUCCACCUUACUAAUCACUAAAUCAGGUCGUCAAAAAAACUGACCUGCACGAAAAAGCAUGAAGAAAGCAACAACCACAAAUAGAGGUGUUGGGCCACACCACCCCCAUCCUAGAGGACUGCAGUGUCUACGAGUUUUCUUCCCAGCUCAACGCCUGGCACCUUCUCCCUGUUCUUGCGGUGCCUCUGUCUCAGAGAGCCCAGUUCAGCCUGCUGGACUGCAGUCCUUCAGGCCUGGAGAUGUAAACCAAUGAGCUAGACAGGUGCAGAAGACUGCUCACUUGGUCCGGAAAGAACUCUUUCGUUACACCAACUCGAACACCAGAGACUGAGAGCAGAGGAACACAUUGUUCAGGAUGCCGGGCACCGAAGAAGAUGCCAAGAACCACCAGAGGAACUUCACAGGGGGCAGAAUACCUGGACUGGAAUUUGUCUGGCAUGCCUUUUCUGGUAACUGUGGUUCGUGGGGACCUUGUGCUGGUCUGCAAUGUGUGCCCCCUGGAGAGAGUUUUGUGUCAUGGGCUCUGGAUGCUGGGUAGACAGGGUGCUGGCAUUACUAGAGAAUAAAAAGGGCUCUUAAGCAAUACUAACUGUCUUAUCUGGUCUGUGGGUAUACAGGUGGUUCUGGAUGAAGGGUCCUAGUGACAUGGUCGGCACAAAGCAAAAGUAGUUACUGCAUGCAGGAGUCUCCAUCCGUGACAUUAACUCAUCUUUAUUGCUACUAUUGCUACAAUUGUUCUUCUCUUUUUGUGUUAUUUUUUAUGCAUUACCUGUUGUUUUUGUGGAUCCACAAUGAUUCUCAUCACUGUAGUCAUUGCCUCUUGCCUGGUUCACAGUUUUGUAUCAGGUUGCAGAUAUUUACUCCCCACUGGUUAAAGUGAGUUCAUCAGGGAAAGCUAAGGGAGGAGCUCAUGGUAUUAAACCUGGCUUUAUGGUGUAGCAGUCAGCCUUUGUUUAGUUGUGGCUGUUGGCCUUUCCUUGUCUGUGUGCUGUUCAACAGCUUUGGUUUUCUUAAAAGCCUGACUUAAAUCUGUUAAUGAUGCGUUCCUUACAUAACUACAGUUUACAUUCUGUGGUGCUCUCUUUCAUUUAGAUUUUUCUGCACUG